UUCUUUUUUGCCUUUGCAGUAGGUCAAUUUGUGUCGAUAUCAAUAUUGUUGUGACCACGUGUUUACUUCACCGUUUUCUGAUCCAAUCAGAUUCAAAUUUGUGUACAUUGGUCGCCACCCCACCCUUAUAUCACACACCCACCGCCUUCAUCUCCAUCUUUCAAGAAACACCUACUCCUCCACCUUCUCUCUUCCGUUUCUUCUCCACCCAUCACCGCUCCCUCCACCGAUCCUUUUCUUCCACUUUCGAUUGUAUUUUCAUUGUCUUACGCCUAUACCGCUAUCUUCUCUCUAAACAAAGCUCUUCAAUUCAUUUGAUGAACCCUAAUUAAUGUUCGCUAAUGUUCAUCGCCAUCGCCACCGCCAUCUAAUCCACCGCCUCCAUUUGGGAACCCUAAAUCCACCUCUAUCGGAACCGGCAUCUGCCACCCCCUCUGUUCCAAAAUCCACUAUCUCCUCUCUCUUAUCAGCCAGGUAAGGUACACAUAGAAAAAAGUAACCACCAUACAUUUUAUAGCUUCCGUCGAUACUAGAAACCCUAACCCUAACUCACCUCCACCAUCGGCACUGGAAACAUCAUACACUAUUCGGUAGAAACAAAUCCCAAUAUCAUCAACGACGCACCACCACCCAUUUUUCAUUUCUGGGUUUUGGGUCUUCCCCACAGCCAACGUGGGUCACGGUGUUACUUUACUGUGCUAUCAGAUGUUUGCUUCCCGAUCCUUCCACCACCUCCCAAAUCGAGUCUCCUCCCUUUUGCUACCCUUUGCUCCCUCCACUGCUAAACACUUACUGAUCCGUUAUGUUUCACGCUUGCAUCUUUGAUUACCUCUUUCUCUUGGCGUCUGUCGCAACACCAUUAGUGGUGGAGGCCGUUACGGCUGUUAAGGAUAUUGUAAAGGUGGUCGUAGAUGAUAAGAUUAGGGUUUUCGAUGUCGGUACUGGACCGUCUUGUCUGCUGUCGAAGGACGACACGGGGGAUCUCAUAUUUUUCAUCUUUCAAUUUCAUUGCAGUUCUAAGUUAUGUGGAUUAUGUUAUGAAUGAGUUUGAUUUCUUUGACUUCUUAGUUUGAGUAUAGUCAACAAAAGGUUCUAUCGAAUUUAUGCUAGGAAUAAAGAAAUAUAGUUAGUUUCACCACAUAAUGUUUGAUCUUUGGAUUUCAUUCAACCAAUUCAGGUAUCUUUCUCUCUACUUUCUGAUUUCUCCUCACCUUUAAUAAAAAAUUUGUUGUUUCAUUCACAGGUCUUGGCAUGAAAUUGGAUUUAAGUUUGACUUAUUUAGAUUCUAAUGGUGAUUUUGAAGUUAUUGCCAUAUCAUCGUUACAAUCACAACCGUAUUUUUCAAUGUAUUGGCUUUAAAUUAUGUUAGUAUUGUUAAUUCUUCAUUUCUUUGUUUGUGUUGGUCUAGGGUAUGCGUAUGUGUUAUUAUCAUGGUAACUUGACUUUGUUACCACUCUAAAAAGAGGGGCUGGAUGAUUGCAUUCACAAUAUUCUGGGCAGUUGGGCAGUUUAUAAACUUUUAUAUGAGGGAUAUGAGCUGUUACAUCAAAGGCAACCUUACAUCUAGUAACUUCUUCUUACUAAAAAUUUGGAACUUAGUGUUAAACUUCCAUGAAGUAAUAUGAAAGAAGCUGUUGAGAAGGAAGCCAAGAAGAAGCUCAAGGUAUGGAAUGGAAUCAUUGAUUCCAUUAGAAAAAAACAUUUUGUUUUUGUUGGAUGGAAUUAAAGUAACCAUUCCUUCACCAAAAUUUGGCUUAGUAUGAACCACACCAAUAGGAUCCUAACCGACUCACGCACCGAACCGACGGAUUGUACCAGUCGAGAUUUUAGAAUUAUUAUCGGUUUAGAACCUGCUUAUUAGGAAUCGGUUUACAAAAUCGCUUUGUAGAACAUGUUUAGUCAAUAUACUUUUCAUUAUCCUUUCUUCUGUUUUUAUGCAGGUUCUGAUGGUGAAGUCAUCUUCUAACAAAAGGUUUCUUGCUGUGAUUGACAUUGUUUUCGCUGAAAACGCAAUUGCAUUUCACCGCGUGUAAAUUUCACGAAGUUGACUUACCCAAGUCAUAAUGUAUAAUUAUAAGUAGAUUAAAUUACAAAAAUAAUCCUUGAGUUUACCUUAA
Molecule: long non-coding RNA, 2117 nt
Organism: Lactuca sativa (garden lettuce)
Lineage: Eukaryota; Viridiplantae; Streptophyta; Magnoliopsida; Asterales; Asteraceae
Source: RefSeq, a predicted model, not a curated record